CCAAAUGCACAAGUUUUUUAACAUACACUUCAUCAAUAUACAAACAAAAUAGAACAUAGAAUAGCAAUAAAACGCCAUAUAACACGCAAUGUUUUCUAAAAUGUUGUACAUAAUUGUUAACGCAUAAUGUCAUUCAACGAGUCCAGAUUAACCAAAACGAUAGUCACAAGUAUGACUAUCGAAAAUUCAACAAAACUAAAAAUAGAAGGAAUGAGUCCCUAAUGCUUAAACUCACUCAAAAGUAUGCCUUCUAGCACUGAUGCAUCCUCGUAUUCAUGUGGACAAGAUGAUGAAUUAGCCACUAUGAUAAUCGAAUAGGCAGAAGAAGGAGGGCCAUUGUAGAUGGUGGUCCCACAUGAACAUUCAAAACCGACACAAGAAGGAUAUCCACUGCAGGAGGUGGUCCUACAAGGAAGAUCACAUUAGUUGGAGGGAAAUUGGGCAAGAUCGUUCAAAGCGUCGACCUUUUGUUCAUGUUAUAAUCUAUUCAAACAUCGUGUUAUCUUGUCAUAGGAUUUUUUUUUGCAAGAGGGGAAGAAAACGACAAUCAACACGCUUUAUUCCCUUCUUCCUGAGGGAGUGAUUCUUUGUACAACAUAUUGCUUGAAAGCAAACAUAUUGAACGAAUGACAAAAUAAGACAAACAUUGACAUGUGACCACACUUUGGAUUAUAGCAGAUGAAAUUGUGAUGAAUCCUGUUCGAUUCUAUUUUCUAAAUUGAAUCGGUAAUCUAAAAGAAGAAGGAAAAAAAACUCAAUCAAACGACCAUGUUUUAAGAGAAUGUGUGGUUGAAAUGCCUAAAGUACAACGAAUUCACCCAAGUUUGGUUGAAAAUUGACAUAACGAGAUAUAAUUGAGAUUAGGGGGUAAAUUUUUGUAAAUGGAAAAUGAGUGAAU
Molecule: long non-coding RNA, 898 nt
Filed under: Medicago truncatula (barrel medic)
Lineage: Eukaryota; Viridiplantae; Streptophyta; Magnoliopsida; Fabales; Fabaceae
Description: long non-coding RNA (MTRU_LNC008476)
Source: RNAcentral